This 349-nucleotide ribosomal RNA is filed under the name uncultured Anoxybacillus sp. RNAcentral describes it as "bacterial SSU rRNA". It matches the Rfam family "Bacterial small subunit ribosomal RNA", at positions 1032 to 1382 of the family's 1533-position model. Lineage: Bacteria; Bacillati; Bacillota; Bacilli; Caryophanales; Anoxybacillaceae. The record is from RNAcentral.
GCACAGGUGCUGCAUGGCUGUCGGUUCAGCUCGUGUCGUGAGAUGUUCGGUUUAAGUCCCGCAACGAGCGCAACCCUCGACCUUAGUUGCCAGCAUUCAGUUGGGCACUCUAAGGUGACUGCGGCUAAAAGUCGGAGGAAGUGGGGAUGACGUCAAAUCAUCAUGCCCUUAUGACCUGGGCUACACACGUGCUACAAUGGGCGGUACAAAGGGUCGCGAACCCGCGAGGGGGAGCCAAUCCCAAAAAGCCGCUCUCAGUUCGGAUUGCAGGCUGCAACUCGCCUGCAUGAAGCCGGAAUCGCUAGUAAUCGCGGAUCAGCAUGCCGCGGUGAAUACGUUCCCGGGCCUU